GCUACAAGCCAGGCUAUCGCUUCUUAUUUAUUUAGGAGGAGGAAAGUCCGGACAGCACAGAGCAAUGCACCGGUGAAUAGCCGGGUCUUGAGUAAUCAGCAACAGAAAGUGCCACAGAAAAUAACUACUCCGCAAGGAGAAAAGGUGAAAAUGUGAGGUAAAAGCUCACAGUUUGUAUGAGUAAUCAUAUUUACGGGUAAACCUUGCAUGCUGAAAUGCCACAUAUACCAUCGCUUGAGAACGGCUCGUUCGAUGAUGGAGGGUAGGCAGCUUGAUUCCGAUUGGCAACUUUCGGAACAGAUAAAUGAUAGCCCACGACAGAAUCCGGCUUACGGCUUGUAGCUUUU
RNAcentral lists this RNase P RNA (347 nucleotides) under Chitinophagaceae bacterium. RNAcentral's name for it is "RNase P RNA component class A". It matches the Rfam family "Bacterial RNase P class A". Rfam says of the family: Ribonuclease P (RNase P) is a ubiquitous endoribonuclease, found in archaea, bacteria and eukarya as well as chloroplasts and mitochondria. Its best characterised activity is the generation of mature 5'-ends of tRNAs by cleaving the 5'-leader elements of precursor-tRNAs. The record is from RNAcentral. Lineage: Bacteria; Pseudomonadati; Bacteroidota; Chitinophagia; Chitinophagales; Chitinophagaceae.